Molecule: ribosomal RNA, 414 nt
Filed under: uncultured microorganism
Description: bacterial SSU rRNA
Rfam family: Archaeal small subunit ribosomal RNA
Source: RNAcentral
CAGCAGCCGCGGUAAUACCGGCGGCCCGAGUGGCGGUCACUAUUAUUGGGCUUAAAGCGUCCGUAGCCGGGUUGGGAAGUCCUCCGGGAAAUCUGGCCGCUUAACGGUCAGAAUGCCGGAGGAUACUCCCAGCCUAGGGAGCGGGAGAGGCCGAGGGGAUUCCCGGGGUAGGGGGGAAAUCCUAUAAUCCCAGGACGACCACCUGUGGCGAAGGCGCUCGGCUGGAACGCGUCCGACGGUGAGGGACGAAGGCCAGGGGAGCAAACCGGAUUAGAUACCCGGGUAGUCCUGGCUGUAAACGAUGCGGACUUUGUGUCGGACAAGCUAUGAGCUUGUCCGGUGCCGGAGGGAAACCGUUAAGUCCGCCGCCUGGGGAGUACGGCCGCAAGGCUGAAACUUAAAGGAAUUGGCGGG